Molecule: ribosomal RNA, 423 nt
Filed under: uncultured bacterium
Lineage: Bacteria
Description: bacterial SSU rRNA
Rfam family: Bacterial small subunit ribosomal RNA
Source: RNAcentral
UCGGGAAUUUUGGGCAAUGGGCGAAAGCCUGACCCAGCAACGCCGCGUGAAGGAUGAAAUCCCUCGGGAUGUAAACUUCGCAAGAACAGGAAGAAUAAGUAGGGGACAAUACCCCCUAUGAUGACGGUACUGUUUGUAAGCUCCGGCUAACUCCGUGCCAGCAGCCGCGGUAAUACGGGGGGAGCAAGCGUUGUUCGGAUUUACUGGGCGUAAAGGGCGCGUAGGCGGCCACCGCAAGUCGGUUGUGAAAUCUCCGGGCUUAACCCGGAAAGGUCAACCGAUACUGCGGGGCUAGAGUGCAGAAGGGGCAACUGGAAUUCUCGGUGUAGCGGUGAAAUGCGUAGAUAUCGAGAGGAACACCUGCGGCGAAGGCGGGUUGCUGGGCUGACACUGACGCUGAAGCGCGAAAGCUAGGGGAGCGAA